GUAGGUGGCAAGCGUUGUCCGGAAUUAUUGGGCGUAAAGCGCGCGCAGGCGGGUCCUUUAAGUCUGAUGUGAAAGCCCACGGGCUCAACCGUGGAGGGUCAUUGGAAACUGGGGGACUAGAGUACAGAAGAGGAAAGCGGAAUUCCAAGUGUAGCGGUGAAAUGCGUAGAGAUUUGGAGGAACACCAGUGGCGAAGGCGGCUUUCUGGUCUGUAACUGACGCUGAGGCGCGAAAGCGUGGGGAGCAAACAGGAUUAGAUACCCUGGUAGUCCACGCCGUAAACGAUGAGUGCUAAGUGUUAGGGGGUUUCCGCCCCUUAGUGCUGCAGCUAACGCAUUAAGCACUCCGCCUGGGGAGUACGGCCGCAAAGGCUG
RNAcentral lists this ribosomal RNA (374 nucleotides) under uncultured organism. Its description in RNAcentral is "partial 16S ribosomal RNA". It matches the Rfam family "Bacterial small subunit ribosomal RNA", at positions 527 to 896 of the family's 1533-position model. The record is from RNAcentral.